AGUGAACGCUGGCGGUAGGCCUAACACAUGCAAGUCGAACGGCAGCACAGUAAGAGCUUGCUCUUACGGGUGGCGAGUGGCGGACGGGUGAGGAAUACAUCGGAAUCUACUUUUUCGUGGGGGAUAACGUAGGGAAACUUACGCUAAUACCGCAUACGACCUACGGGUGAAAGCAGUGGAUCUUCGGACCUUGCGCGAUUGAAUGAGCCGGUGUCGGAUUAGCUAGUUGGCGGGGUAAAGGCCCACCAAGGCGACGAUCCGUAGCUGGUCUGAGAGGAUGAUCGACCACACUGGAACUGAGACACGGUCCAGACUCCGACGGGAGGCAGCAGUAGGGAAUCUUGGGCAAUGGGGGAAAGCCUGACGGCGCAAAGCCGCGGGGGUGAAGAAGGGCUUCGGGUUGUAAAACCCUUUUUUUAGGGAAGAAAAAACGGGUAAUUAACUCCCCACGUUUUGACGGUACCCAAAAAGAAAGCCACGGCUAACUACGUG
This 492-nucleotide ribosomal RNA is filed under the name uncultured bacterium. RNAcentral describes it as "partial 16S ribosomal RNA". It matches the Rfam family "Bacterial small subunit ribosomal RNA", at positions 29 to 507 of the family's 1533-position model. The record is from RNAcentral.